This 253-nucleotide ribosomal RNA is filed under the name uncultured bacterium. RNAcentral's name for it is "partial 16S ribosomal RNA". It matches the Rfam family "Bacterial small subunit ribosomal RNA", at positions 524 to 776 of the family's 1533-position model. The record is from RNAcentral.
GACGAACCGAGCGAACGUUGUUCGGAAUCACUGGGCUUAAAGGGCGCGUAGGCGGGUAUUCAAGUCUGUGGUGAAAUCCGGCAGCUCAACCGUCGAAUUGCCGUGGAUACUGGGUAUCUCGAGGGAGGUAGGGGCGUGCGGAACUAAUGGUGGAGCGGUGAAAUGCGUUGAUAUCAUUAGGAACUCCGGUGGCGAAGGCGGCACGCUGGACCUUUUCUGACGCUGAGGCGCGAAAGCCAGGGGAGCAAACGGG